RNAcentral lists this ribosomal RNA (198 nucleotides) under uncultured bacterium. Its description in RNAcentral is "partial 16S ribosomal RNA". It matches the Rfam family "Bacterial small subunit ribosomal RNA", at positions 328 to 539 of the family's 1533-position model. The record is from RNAcentral.
ACGCUCGACCCUACGGAGGCAGCAGUGGGGAAUAUUGCACAAUGGGGGAAACCCGUCGAUGCAGCGACGCCGCGUGGAGGAAGAAGGUCUUCGGAUUGUAAACUCCUGUUGUUGGGGAAAAAGAGGAUGGUACCCAACAAGGAAGUGACGGCUAACUACGUGCCAGUAGCCGCGGUAAUCUGAGCGGGCUGGCAAGGC